This is a long non-coding RNA of Oxyura jamaicensis (ruddy duck), 1955 nucleotides long. RefSeq lists it as uncharacterized. NCBI's taxonomy places the organism in Eukaryota, Metazoa, Chordata, Aves, Anseriformes, Anatidae. The record is from RefSeq and is a predicted model, not a curated record. The transcript has 3 exons.
UAGCUGGUUUCAGCAAGGAUCUGCCCUUCCAAACUGGGCUCUGAGUGUAAAGGCUGUGACAGAAUUUAAUGCUCGGAAAAAUAAUACUUGUGUGAAUCAAGUGCUGAAGUGGUACAAGUAUCCAUAUUUUGUCUAAAAUUGUCAAAAGCCUUAAGGAAAUGAUCAGUCAUUUCUUUUUAAAGCGGUGUUAAAGUUCACCCACACUUGUACAAACAGCAGCAUGCAGGUAAUGCUGCAUGCCACCCUGUUUAUCCUGGAAAAAGCAGAAAAGUUUAGUUUUAUUUCUGGGUUAACUAUGUACAUGCAAACAUGCUAACCAGAGUGAGGCAGACACCAGAGACUCUCUUGGCUCAGCUGGGCAUGGGGAGCCAAGGUUUCCCUCAGCCCUGCUCUGCAAAUGCCAGUGGGGCUUUGCUGAGGCUGUUCAGGGCCUUUCCUGAGCACCACCAACACCUGGUACUUCUCCCACACCUGCGUGGGGGCUGCUCCGAGUGCUACGCCAGCCCCACAGUAUGGGGGAUUAAUGCUAAUGGGCUCCUCUUGGCCUCGCUGCAUCCAUGGCCCAUGAGGGACAGAAGAAGCUGUUGUGGGUCUGCAUGCAGCCCUGGCUCUCUCUGCUCCCACAUGGCUGAUAUGGAGGUGAGGCGAGGCCCUGGCAUGCCAAGAGAGGAAAUGGAGCACGGCAGAACCGCCCGUGGAGCGGAGCGGAGCUGGGAUGCUGCACUGAACCGUGGAGAUGCCAUACCAAGCACAACUCGUGGUUGCAAACCAGGCUACCCGGUUCUAAAUCGCAUCCAACUUUUUUUUUGAGCCAGGCAACUAAAUAUUUCUGAAGCUUAUUAAAUUAACCAGUUAGACCAAGGCAAUAUACAAGUGAGUUGUUCUGGGGCUGCGUGAAAAGGUUUGCACACAACGAAAAGGUUCUUCAUGUGCUGCAAAAUGUAAUGUGAAGCCAGCGAAUCUGUUACCCAAAGAAUCCCCAUGGUUUGGACUAGGAAGAAGCAUCCUCCAAAGCUGAUAACGUGAACCUGAUGCUGGGCACCCAAAAUUCUGGGGGAGUUCAGUCCAUGCUCAGCUCUCCCUGAUGUGAAACAUACUCACUUUGGCUCUUGCACACUGUCUAAGAGGUGACAGAUCUUCAAGUUGGGUAAACAUCUCUAGUUUGUCUCUGAUACGAACAGAGCUUGUCUGUGUUUGUGAUUUGGCUUGCACUCUUUGCAUUACAUCGCUGCGUGGGGACUCUGCGAUUGACAGUAAGAUGCUACACAAGAUGCCGGUCUUACUGCAAAGACCUUCUGUUACUGAGUAAGCUUUGUGUGUCAGCCCACGCAAACGUGCUGUACUUGAUUAAUCGUGUUCAUUAGGGUUGUAUUUUCAGGCAGCCGAGAACAGGGCUCCCUUAUGCUGGGCACUGCGCAGCUCCGGAGCACCAGCAGUGCUUUGUUUCCCGUGUGACGUGCCAAUGUCUUUCUCCAGGCCAGACCUGCUUUCUAAUUCAAGUGACAAAAUUAGUGAAAAACUGGUUUGCGUCUUGCUCUUCCAUCCGCCUGGGCAUGUUUGGGAAUCCCUUAGAAUGACUGAAUUCAGUGGUUUAAGCUCUUUUUUAUUUAUUUUAUUUUAUUUUUUAUUGCACACCUCCCACAAUAACUCUGAAGGAGCUUCAUAAUGGAAAUGCUGACACAACGCUAUCGCCUCAGCCCCAGGAGUGUGUUCCACCUUCUAUUGUUUGCCUUGGCCUCUGUAUAUUGUAUACUGCCUCAGUUUAAUUGGUUAAUUUAAUAAACUUCUGAAGUGCUGUAUCAGUUGUCUGGCUUAGCUUUCAUCCACUAGCCUGAUGAAGAACGUAUAAGUUUCAAAAGCUUUCCUGUAUGAAGUUAAUCAAAUAAAAGGUAUCUCCUACCGUACGCUGCAUGUAUUUCUUGGAAGGACUGCUUGAACCGACACAUUUUUACAAU